Molecule: long non-coding RNA, 1933 nt
Organism: Homo sapiens (human)
Lineage: Eukaryota; Metazoa; Chordata; Mammalia; Primates; Hominidae
Product: long intergenic non-protein coding RNA 2570
Source: Ensembl
AAUUCGGUGGCAAAUGAGUCAACCAAUUGUGCCUAUGUAAUGAAAACUCUGGACGCCAAAAUUUGGUGGAGCUUCCUGGUUGGUGAACACAUCCAUGUGCCAGGAGGGUGACACAACCUGAUUCACAGAGAGAAGACACAGAAGCUCUGCAUGGAAGACCCGCCCAGACCCCGCCCUACGUGUGUCUUCAUUAGUCUGGUCCUCCUGAUUUGUAUCCUUUGUAACAAGCCUGUAAUCCCAGGAGAAAGGACUUUGUGCUCCUUCACCUCAGAAACCUGAACUCAGAAUUUCCUUGUAGACACUUUUCAGGCCUUUGUUUGCUGGAGACUGGAGUUCCCUGAGAGGAUUAAGGGUGUGGUGGGGAGUGUCUAAAGGAGCCCAGUGCCUUGAGGGCAGCCAAGAAGACAGAGGCCCUGGACUGGAUACCGGCUGAGGUAGGUGGAUCCCUGUGGGGUGGAGACCAUCCCCAGCUCCACAGCCCCAGGCAUGUCAAGGGCUAUCAUCAAGGCCUCAGAGGAGACCAGCUGCCUGGGGCACCUCAGGAAGCUAUACCCUGACACCUGGACUCCAGAGUCCACAAAUAUAUCUGUACCCAAACCAGUGGGCAAGCAAAGAAGCCCUUGCCUUUGGGAGACCUCAGGAUGUUGGCCAUGAGAACAUCAUGGAUGGGCGCGGUGGCUCGCUCCUGUAAUCCCAGCACUUUGGGAGGCCAAGGCGGGUGGAUCACCUGAGGUUAGGAGUUCGAGACCAGCCUGGCCAACAUGGUAAAACCCUGUCUCUACUAAAAAUACAGAAAUUAGCCAGGCACAGUGGCAGGUGCCUGUAAUCCCAGCUACUCGGGCGGCUGAGGCAGGAGAAUCGCUUGAACCUGGGAGGCAGAGGUUGCAGUGAGCCAAGAUCAUAUCACUGUGCUCCAGCUUGGGCAACAAGACAGAAACUCCAUCUCAAAAAAAAAAAAAAGAAAAGAAAUCAUGGACUCCAAAAGGCCUGAAGUGGAGAGUCCUGAAGCCAUCUCAGACCAUGAGGCCACCCUAAGGGUAGAAGGAAGCACACUAAGAUGACAGGAACAGAAGACAGGAGCCUGGGUCCAUCAUGCCAGGGAGCCUCCACACCUGCCCUGGACGUUUCAUCUCAGACCUCGUGGAUAAAGCAGAGAAAUAAAUAUCUACCUUGUUUAAGCCACUUAUUUUCAAUUUUUUGUUUCAAGCAGGCUUUUCAUGAAGUUCCCAGUCUGACAGCAUUAAUUGGUGGGCUAGAAUUUGUGGACGGUUUCCAUGUAUGUAUUCUGCAAAACCAUCCAUAAGAAAGAGUUGAACAAGUCUUGGGACUAGCUAGAGAAGUGGGCAAAAAAAGAGAGGAAGUGGCCGAGUGCGGUGGCUCACGCCUGUAAUCCCAGCACUUUGGGAUGCUCAGGCAGGCAGAUCACGAGAUCAAGAGAUUGAGACCAUCCUGGCCAACAUGGUGAAACCCCGUCUCUACUGAAAAUACAAAAAUUAGCUGGGCGUGAUGCCAUGCGCCUGUAGUCCGAGCUACUCGGGAGGCGGAGGCAGGAGAAUCACUUGAACCCUGGAGGCAGAGGUUGCAGUGUGUCAAGAUCAUGCCACCGCUCUCCAGCCUAGUAACAGAGUGAGAAUUCCGUCUCAAAAAAAAAAAAAAAAAAAAAGAGAGAGAGGAAGUAGCCUCUCCACUGCCCCUGCCAUGCCUAGAAGGUUCCCCAGCAUAAGAAGAGAUCAUUUGCAUCUCAAACAGCACAAUAGGCAGCCUGCUGGGUGGCCGGGGAAACUGUCCAAGACAGGACCGUACCAGAGGCCUUUUCUUGUCCUUUGAAUAUUUCAACUUCUGUGCAGGAAGGCUUGGGCUUUCCCAGGACAAAAUAAUUUUUAACAUUUUAUUUGUCUUAUUAAAUAUUAAAUAAAUAUAUUUGUAAAAGAUA